Molecule: unclassified non-coding RNA, 565 nt
Filed under: Hevea brasiliensis (rubber tree)
Lineage: Eukaryota; Viridiplantae; Streptophyta; Magnoliopsida; Malpighiales; Euphorbiaceae
Source: RNAcentral
GGACGCGACGAAAUGUCUCAACUUUCCCACACAGUAUCAACGGCUUUAAGGUAUCUAAAGACCACAAAAAAAGGCCGGCGGAAUUCGCCGGCCUUUGGUCUCGCAAGUUAGAUGACUUACUCGGCUGCUUCGACUUUGCGGGGUGGCGAGAGAGCACCCGAAUUGUGGGUCUCAGCAACCUGAUUGUCAUUGAAGCCCAAGACCUGCUUCAGGAUCUCGUCGGUGUGCUCGCCCAGCAGUGGCGAGCGCGUCACCACAGUCGGGCUGUCCGAUAGUUUGAUCGGAUUACCGACCGAAAUGUACUUGCCGCGAGUUGGAUGAUCGACUUCGACGAGUGUACCGGUGGCAUAGAGAGACUUGUCCUCGGAAAUUUCCUUCAUCGACAGAAUCGGACCGCACGGAAUGUCGUCCUUGUUGAGAAUUUCCAUCGCCUCGAACUUGGUCUUGGUCAUGGUCCACUGUUCGAUGCGUCCGAAAAUCUCAUUCAAGCGCGGCAGACGCGCCGCCGGCUUGGCGUAGUCCGGAUGCUUCUUCCAGCCGGGCUCGCCGAUCACGUCGCAGAUCG